Molecule: long non-coding RNA, 1183 nt
Filed under: Olea europaea subsp. europaea
Lineage: Eukaryota; Viridiplantae; Streptophyta; Magnoliopsida; Lamiales; Oleaceae
Source: RNAcentral
CUUGAGAUGAAAAAUCAUAAUGUAAGCAUCCAUACCCCCAUUUUGCUUCUGCAACUCAGGUAACAUAGCUACAAGCAUCACACAUGCUGCAGUGCUAUCAUCAUCACUGUGUUUGUUGUGAGCAGCCACCUCUUCCUCAGUGGAAUUUUCAGUAGGCACCUCUGGAAAUGGCUGCUCAAGGACAUACCCAAUUUUCUCAUGCUUGAGAACGAUUCUCAGAUUGCGGUGCCAAUCGAAAAAAUUUGGUCUGAUCAAUUUGUUAGCAUCCAGUAUGCCUCUCAAAUUUAUAUGAUUACUCAUGAUUCAAAAACUGUAAAUGACUAGAAAUAUAGAAUCAAUAUGUAUUAUAAUGCAUUUGUACAAAUUCAAUAUGGACUUUAAUUAAACGUGCUCCCACUGUUUAAAAUAAAUUGAUGACUCUCAUACAUAAAUUAUUGGAAUCCACAUUUGAUUCCCAGUGGGCCGGGAUCUCAUUCGUUAUAUCAAGAUCUUGAGUGUACUCAACAAAUCUUAAUAAAAUAUUUGGGUAGAUACUAUUAUCAAUUGUAUCUCCAUACAACUCCCAGAUCAUUAAACUGACAACUCUUUUGUCUUCACACAUCUUAUAUGUUAGUUUAACAUGCCUCUAAAACAUAUCUCCUUGAAUGUACUCAACAAAAGGUAAAUUUUAGUUAUGUCAAACCCAUCAUUCAGAAAUGUCAAAUAUUUCAUAGUAUCAAACAUAUCCCUAAUAGAUCAGCCUUGAGUGUACUCAACAAGUUGAGGUCGAUUUAGGAUUCUCGUUUUUCACUAUAAUGAUGGAAGAUAAAUAAUACUAACUUAAUAUUUUAUCGAGAGAUUUAACAUACAAUGGUCUCAUCAAGUAAUUAUAUAUAUAUUUAAUCAUGCAUCAACUAUGCGAAUAAAUAUAUAAAUAAUAGUAUGGAUAAUUAUAGACUUGUUCUAUCUUGUUUUCCCGAGCCAAAGGGAAGACUAGUUGGUCAAUUCCUAAGGGGUACAACAUUGGAUCAACAUCAAUGCACCAUCUCCAUGGUUUCCUCCUUUUCUUGUGCCUUCAAUUAGUCAAGCUGCAACGUGUAUCCUAUACUAGUUGGCACACAGGCCUAAAAAAAAAAAAAGACUCGCAGGCCCAUAAUAAUAAUAACAACAAUGGACUCGUAAAUCCAAUAUAAUAAAGAGCUCG